This 483-nucleotide ribosomal RNA is filed under the name uncultured bacterium. Its description in RNAcentral is "partial 16S ribosomal RNA". It matches the Rfam family "Bacterial small subunit ribosomal RNA", at positions 28 to 523 of the family's 1533-position model. The record is from RNAcentral.
GACGAACGCUGGCGGCGUGCUUAACACAUGCAAGUCACGGGGGCCCGCAAGGGUAACCGGCGAACGGGUGCGUAACACGUGAGCAAUCUGCCGUACACUGGGGGAUAGCCGGCCCAACGGCCGGGUAAUACCGCAUACGCUCCUUUGGCGGCAUCGCUGAGGGAGGAAACCUCCGGGGGUGUACGAGGAGCUCGCGGCCUAUCAGGUAGUUGGUGGGGUCACGGCCUACCAAGCCAUUGACGGGUAGCUGGUCUGAGAGGAUGGCCAGCCACAUUGGGACUGAGAUACGGCCCAGACUCCUACGGGAGGCAGCAUUGGGGAAUAUUGCGCAAUGGCCGCAAGGCUGACGCAGCGACGCCGCGUGGGGGAUGAAGCAUUUCGGUGUGUAAACCCCUGUUGCUCGGGACGAACAGCUCUUUUCGAGGAGCCUGACGGUACCGGGUGAGGAAGCACCGGCUAACUCCGUGCCAGCAGCCGCAGUAA